This 870-nucleotide long non-coding RNA is filed under the name Salmo salar (Atlantic salmon). Its description in RNAcentral is "lncRNA (ENSSSAG00000099733.1)". The record is from RNAcentral. Lineage: Eukaryota; Metazoa; Chordata; Actinopteri; Salmoniformes; Salmonidae.
CUCACGUGCCAUCUCCUCAUUGGUUUAUAGAAACAGGUACCCACGUGCCAUCUCCUCAUUAGUUAUACCCACGUGGGUAAUUGAAAGACGAAAUGUUUUGCCGGUUGUCGUGGUAAAAGUGUAGAUGCCAAUCACCUAUAUCAUUUCAAAGAUGAGAAAGCCUCGAAGGAGGAGAGAUGACUAGAAACGAUUCGGUUGGCCGUUUUAUGUGUGGAUUAAUUGUCGGAGUAGAGGACCUUGUGCAUUUCAGGCAAGUCGGUUAAGAACAAAUUCUUAUUUACAAUGACGACUUAUCCCGGCCAAACCCUAAUGACGCUGGGCCAAUUGUGCGCCGCCCUACGGGUCUUGGGGGCCCUCAUCAAGAUCAUGCAGACAUGCCCUCGCUGUGAGCAUUCCUAUGAAUGGAACAGUCAGCCACAUUAUGGCAAGUAUCCGGCCAGCAACCUUCGGCAACAGCUUUCACAGGCUCAUCAAUUGUACAAAUACAAAAGCAACAGAGGCAAAGGUACAGGACGGCAGGCAGGCUCAGGUCAGGCAGAGGUUGGUAAUCCAGAGGUGGGACAAAGGUACAGGACGGCAGGCAGGGUCAGGUCGGGCAGAGGUUGGUAAUCCAGAGGUGGGACAAAGGUACAGGACGGCAGGCAGGGUCAGGCAAGGGUCAAAACCAGGAGGACGAGAAAAGAGAGAUUUGGGCAAAGCAAGCGUUGAUACAAAACCGCUAGUUGACUUGACAAACAAGAUGAACUGGCAACAGACAAACAGGGAACACAGGUUUAAAUACAGAGGGAAUAAUGGGGAAGAUGGGUGACACCUGGAGGGGGUGGAGACAAUCACAAAGACAGGUGAAACAGAUUAGGGUGUGACACCGGG